UUCUUUUGCUCUUUUUGUUUUUGCUAAUCUGCUUCUCUUUCUCUUCUGCGAAUCCUUCUGCCGUUAGUAGUUGUAUUGUAGCUUUCGGAAAUUAUCGGUACGCAGGGGCUGAGCUCUGAGCAAUUCGGAGCUUCAGAGUGAAGCCUCAAUUACUCGGUUUGGAACUUUGGAGAUGUCAUACGGGAUGCGCAUCCUCGGAACUCUUUCUUUAGAUUAACUCAAAGAUAGCUACCAAUGUUAACCAAAUGACUCAAGGAAUGUGUAGUGUAACAGCUUAUUCAAAUUUGUAAGAAAUUGAUUCAGUGUAGCAAGCUGUAACGAAAUUGAUUCAAAUCUUUAUUUUGAAGUCCAUGUAGCUCAAUGUAACAAGAUAAUUCAAAGAGUUUGUAAUGAAAAUUCAAUUUCGUAUUAUUUCCCAUGACUUGAACUUGUAAUAGAGAUUCAAAUAGGCAUUCCUUUUA
Long non-coding RNA from Vicia villosa (hairy vetch), 461 nucleotides. RefSeq lists it as uncharacterized. Lineage: Eukaryota; Viridiplantae; Streptophyta; Magnoliopsida; Fabales; Fabaceae. The record is from RefSeq and is a predicted model, not a curated record. The transcript has 2 exons.